This 435-nucleotide ribosomal RNA is filed under the name Salmonella enterica subsp. enterica serovar Virchow. Its description in RNAcentral is "bacterial SSU rRNA". It matches the Rfam family "Bacterial small subunit ribosomal RNA", at positions 1098 to 1533 of the family's 1533-position model. RNAcentral also lists the same sequence under 2 other names. Lineage: Bacteria; Pseudomonadati; Pseudomonadota; Gammaproteobacteria; Enterobacterales; Enterobacteriaceae. The record is from RNAcentral.
GCAACCCUUAUCCUUUGUUGCCAGCGAUUAGGUCGGGAACUCAAAGGAGACUGCCAGUGAUAAACUGGAGGAAGGUGGGGAUGACGUCAAGUCAUCAUGGCCCUUACGACCAGGGCUACACACGUGCUACAAUGGCGCAUACAAAGAGAAGCGACCUCGCGAGAGCAAGCGGACCUCAUAAAGUGCGUCGUAGUCCGGAUUGGAGUCUGCAACUCGACUCCAUGAAGUCGGAAUCGCUAGUAAUCGUGGAUCAGAAUGCCACGGUGAAUACGUUCCCGGGCCUUGUACACACCGCCCGUCACACCAUGGGAGUGGGUUGCAAAAGAAGUAGGUAGCUUAACCUUCGGGAGGGCGCUUACCACUUUGUGAUUCAUGACUGGGGUGAAGUCGUAACAAGGUAACCGUAGGGGAACCUGCGGUUGGAUCACCUCCUUA